This 127-nucleotide small RNA is filed under the name Marmota monax (woodchuck). The record is from RNAcentral. Lineage: Eukaryota; Metazoa; Chordata; Mammalia; Rodentia; Sciuridae.
GCUGGGUGUGGUGGCGCACACCUGUAAUCCUAGCAGCUUGGGAGGCUGAGGCAGGAGGAUCACAAGUUCGAAGCCAGCCUCAACAGUUUAGUGAGGCUCCAAGCAACUUAGUGAGAUCCUGCCUUAA